CGUGGAGACAGGUGGUGCAUGGCUGUCGUCAGCUCGUGUCGUGAGAUGUUGGGUUAAGUCCCGCAACGGGCGCAACCCUCACCCCUAGUUGCCACCGGGUUAAGCCGAGCACUCAAGGGGAACUGCCAGCGUCAAGCUGGAGGAAGGCGGGGAUGACGUCAAGUCAUCAUGCCCCUUACGCCCUGGGCUACACACGUGCUACAAUGGCCAGUACAAAGGGACGCGAGACUGCGAAGUGGAGCUAAUCCCAAAAAGCUGGUCUAAGUUCAGAUUGCAGUCUGCAACUCGACUGUAUGAAGGAGGAAUCGCUAGUAAUCGCGUAUCAGCCCGGCGCGGUGAAUACGUUCCCGGGCCUUGUACACACCGCCCGUCACACCACGAAAGCUGUCUGUACUCGAAGUCGCUGAG
RNAcentral lists this ribosomal RNA (408 nucleotides) under uncultured Methylomirabilota bacterium. RNAcentral describes it as "bacterial SSU rRNA". It matches the Rfam family "Bacterial small subunit ribosomal RNA", at positions 1027 to 1434 of the family's 1533-position model. The record is from RNAcentral. Lineage: Bacteria; Methylomirabilota (SeqCode).